This is a non-coding RNA of Dermacentor albipictus, 748 nucleotides long. Lineage: Eukaryota; Metazoa; Arthropoda; Arachnida; Ixodida; Ixodidae. The record is from RefSeq and is a predicted model, not a curated record.
UCUUUCCACCGGUGCAAUGGUCAGGCCGCGCGUCGUCAGGACUGCAGAAGGACAGCGCGCGUAUGAAGAGCGACGGAGGGAGCAGCGACGCGAGUGUGAUCGUCCACGGCGUGCGGAUGCUAAUGCAGCGGCAUCCGACGAGCGUACCCGCGAGACGGCAGGUAAGCGACCAGCGAGACCCACGGAAGCACACCACGUCAAGGGGUCAACGUGGGUGAGUUCAAGGGCGCGAACGCGAGGUUCCCAAGAGGCUUACUUAAUCGUCAUUUCGACCCUGCCUGCAAAGUCUGCGACAGACUAUGGUUCGGUAACGACCUCACUACGAUCGCUGCCGUGAGGGACGACGAGAAGCGGCAACGUGCGUUGGAGGUGUUAACGCGGUGCUUCCCUGCAAGUUGGUGGACUCGGAGCGAAUAAAGAAAUGGGAAGCUCAAGCAAAGCGGGAUCGGUGGAACGCAACUGACAGCUCAUACAUCUGCGAGCUCCACAUUGAAGAGGACUAGUUUGAGAGAAAUCGACAGUAUGGACGCCGCCUGUUAAAGUCUACAGCUCUGCCCACGCUGUUCGACUUUAGACCUCAACCUAAGCGAAGGAAACUCCCUAUGAGACGUACUGCCGAAUGUGGACCUGCUGGCGAGGAAGGCACCAACUCCUCCUCAACAGUUGCUACAGACGCUGACCAAGAAGACUCCGCAGAACUGAGUCGAGAUAGUGCCUCUUCUUUCGAAGAAAAUGCAGUCGAGCAUAA